Vibrio anguillarum 775 is the source of this 113-nucleotide non-coding RNA. The record is from Rfam. Lineage: Bacteria; Pseudomonadati; Pseudomonadota; Gammaproteobacteria; Vibrionales; Vibrionaceae.
UGCGCCGUCUUUGGGGAGUAGCUUACCAGUGAGAUUUCUUAUCUUGAUGGUUCGUUCGUCAACAUAAUUGGUGCCAAAUCACCGUGGCGUUCGAGGCUAAAGUCAUUUUAGCU